GAAUUUGUAUAUUUGAAUAUUUUUCUAUAUACAGUUUGUUUAAUAAUUCUUAUAGUCACAUUUUCUGCAAUUUAAGUAACAGUUUUAACACAUUUAGUACAUAUGAAAAGUAUAUGUUUAUAAAAUGUGUUACUAAUUUCAAAAAUAUAAAAAAAGAAGAAAUAAAAUUUAUUUUUUUAAACAUUUUAAAAAAUUUAAAAUUAUUUCAUGAAGACAGUUCUUUAUGGAUAUAUGCGAUUUCGAUUUUAAAAAUUUUAUUAAAACGGAUAUAUAGUACUAAAAUUAAAAAUGUUAAAGGAAUUUCGUUCAAUGGUAAAAAAAAAGGACCACAAGAAAUAAAUGAAGAGAGGAAACAAACUAAAGGUCAAGCAGAACAAAACUUGAACGAGUUAUGCUCUUAUAUAAAAUUUGCAUUUAUUACGAUAAUUCAAGAAACUUUUAUAACAGUAUAUAAAGAAAAUUACUACAGUUACUAUUUUAUAUAUAAUAAAUUUGAAAACGAUGGCAGUGAUGAAAGUGUAAUAAAUGAAACAAGUACAAACAUAGAUUAUGCUUAUAAGGCGAUUGAGAAAAAUGAUGUAAUUAAUGAUAAUAAUAACUAUUUUGAAAAAAAAAAAAAAAAAAAAAAAGCCCUUUAUUUUGAUACCUCUUUUAACAACGAAAAGAACGAAACAUGCAAUGUUAAUCUUUACAAAAAACGUUAUUUAGAUAUUCCUGUCUGUAUUUUGAUGUGUGUUUCUGAUUUUUUAGCUACUUUAUACAAAAUAAUAAUUAAAGAGAAGUUAACAAAUGAAAUAAAUAUUGAUGAGCUUAUGAAAGACUUGCCUAUUUUGAUUCAAGGUUAUGUGCUAUUAAAAAUAAAAGCAUCUUUUAAAAAAUUAAAUUUAAUUAAAAAUAAAAUAUUGUUUAAUUCGUUUAAGUACAAUUUUACAUUUAAUGAAAAUUUAAAAGAUUUUUAUUAUGCUAAAGAAAUAUAUAAAAAUAAUGAAAAAGUUUUGACGUUGCAUUUUAAUUAUACUAAAUUAAAUCAAUAUUUUGAAAACAUCUUCUUAAUAAAAGAAUGUGUUCAUUUGGCUUAUAUAUAUAGCUAUUUUAAUGAAAGACAAACUGUAUUAGAAAAUCUGUUAUCUAUGUGUAAUGUAUCCCAAGUGAAUAAUGAAUAUUUAUACAUAGUCAUAAGUUCGUUUGUAUUUUUUUCGAUGAAAAGUAGCAACAGUUCCUUUUUUCUAAACAACUUUAUGUUUAAUUAUUUUAUUACGAAUGAGUUAAUUGAUAGUAUAGGUAAGUUUGCGCGUAGUGAAAAUUUGGGUAUGUUAUAUGAUGUUGAUAAGGGAAAAGGGGGGAUAAAACGUGACAGCAGUGGUAGUAAUAGUAGUAGUAGUAGUAGUAGUAGUAGUAGUGGC
RNAcentral lists this long non-coding RNA (1403 nucleotides) under Piliocolobus tephrosceles (Ugandan red Colobus). RNAcentral's name for it is "lncRNA (ENSPTEG00000015034.1)". The record is from RNAcentral. Lineage: Eukaryota; Metazoa; Chordata; Mammalia; Primates; Cercopithecidae.